GUGUCCUACGGGACGCAGCAGUGAGGAAUAUUGGUCAAUGGCCGAGAGGCUGAACCAGCCAAGUCGCGUGAGGGAAGACGGCCCUACGGGUUGUAAACCUCUUUUGUCGGGGAGCAAAGCGAACCACGUGUGGUUCAUUGAGAGUACCCGAAGAAAAAGCAUCGGCUAACUCCGUGCCAGCAGCCGCGGUAAUACGGAGGAUGCGAGCGUUAUCCGGAUUUAUUGGGUUUAAAGGGUGCGUAGGCGGAAUAUCAAGUCAGCGGUAAAAAUUCAGGGCUCAACCCUGUCGAGCCGUCGGAACUGGC
Molecule: ribosomal RNA, 305 nt
Filed under: uncultured bacterium
Lineage: Bacteria
Description: bacterial SSU rRNA
Rfam family: Bacterial small subunit ribosomal RNA
Source: RNAcentral